This 523-nucleotide ribosomal RNA is filed under the name uncultured bacterium. Its description in RNAcentral is "bacterial SSU rRNA". It matches the Rfam family "Bacterial small subunit ribosomal RNA", at positions 791 to 1313 of the family's 1533-position model. The record is from RNAcentral.
UAGUCCACGCCCUAAACGAUGAUAACUAGCCGUUGGUCCUUCGGGGCUAGUGGCGAAGCUAACGCGCUAAGUUAUCCGCCUGGGGAGUACGGCCGCAAGGUUAAAACUCAAAUGAAUUGACGGGGGCCCGCACAAGCGGUGGAGCAUGUGGUUUAAUUCGAUGCAACGCGAAGAACCUUACCUACCCUUGACAUCCUCAGAACUUGUUAGAGAUAACUUGGUGCCUUCGGGAAUUGAGUGACAGGUGCUGCAUGGCUGUCGUCAGCUCGUGUCGUGAGAUGUUGGGUUAAGUCCCGCAACGAGCGCAACCCUUGUCCCUAGUUGCCAGCACAUAAUGGUGGGAACUCUAGGGAGACUGCCGGUGACAAACCGGAGGAAGGUGGGGAUGACGUCAAGUCAUCAUGGGCCCUUAUGGGGUAGGGGCUACACACGUGCUACAAUGGUCGGUACAGAGGGUUGCCAACCCGCGAGGGGGAGCUAAUCUCAGAAAACCGAUCGUAGUCCGGAUUGGAGUCUGCAACUC